Acanthosepion pharaonis is the source of this 110-nucleotide non-coding RNA. NCBI's taxonomy places the organism in Eukaryota, Metazoa, Mollusca, Cephalopoda, Sepiida, Sepiidae. The record is from the annotation of a GenBank genome assembly.
AGCCAUAUCACGUUGAAACACCAUUUCUCGUAUGAUCCCUGAAGUUAAGCAAUGUCGAGCCUGGUUAGUACCUAGAUGGUCGACUGGUUGGGAAUACCAGGUGGUGCAUA